UAAGGAGUGAAUAAUGUUGGUGUGGUAGGUUGACCGUGGCUGGGUGCCAGGUGCCCACCAAAGCCGCUCUAUCACUCCCCCUCCUCAGAUGGACAGGGGA
This is a long non-coding RNA of Aquila chrysaetos chrysaetos, 100 nucleotides long. RefSeq lists it as uncharacterized. The transcript has 3 exons. The record is from RefSeq and is a predicted model, not a curated record. Lineage: Eukaryota; Metazoa; Chordata; Aves; Accipitriformes; Accipitridae.